This 618-nucleotide ribosomal RNA is filed under the name Cortinarius subtortus. RNAcentral describes it as "eukaryotic LSU rRNA". It matches the Rfam family "Eukaryotic large subunit ribosomal RNA", at positions 1 to 626 of the family's 3401-position model. Lineage: Eukaryota; Fungi; Basidiomycota; Agaricomycetes; Agaricales; Cortinariaceae. The record is from RNAcentral.
GUGACCUCAAAUCAGGUAGGACUACCCGCUGAACUUAAGCAUAUCAAUAAGCGGAGGAAAAGAAACUAACAAGGAUUCCCCUAGUAACUGCGAGUGAAGCGGGAAAAGCUCAAAUUUAAAAUCUGGCAGUCUUUGACUGUCCGAGUUGUAAUCUAGAGAGGUGUUUUCGGCGCUGGACCGUGUACAAGUCUCCUGGAAUGGAGCGUCAUAGAGGGUGAGAAUCCCGUCUCUGACACGGGCUGCCAGGGCUUUGUGAUGCACUCUCAAAGAGUCGAGUUGUUUGGGAAUGCAGCUCAAAAUGGGUGGUAAAUUCCAUCUAAAGCUAAAUAUUGGCGAGAGACCGAUAGCGAACAAGUACCGUGAGGGAAAGAUGAAAAGAACUUUGGAAAGAGAGUUAAACAGUACGUGAAAUUGCUGAAAGGGAAACGCUUGAAGUCAGUCGCGUUGUCCAGGGAUCAACCUUGCUUUUGCUUGGUGUACUUUCUGGUUGACGGGCCAGCAUCAAUUUUGACUAUUGGAAAAAAAUCAGGGAAAUGUGGCAUCUUUGCAUGUGUUAUAGUCCUUGGUUGUAUACAAUGGUUAGGAUUGAGGAAUUCAGCACGCCGCAAGGUCGGGUGU